UUUCCAGAGCCAGUUGUACUUAAUAUUUCUAUCAAAAUCACUUUUAUGACUCUUAAGGACUCUAUAGGUGGAACUUGUGGAGAAGGUUCCAUUAUCACUAUGUUCCCAGAUUAUUUUAUCUUGAGGGGAGGAGUUUUGGGGGGAUAUGGACAUCCUUAAUAAGAUUCUGGAUAUCAGUAGAGAGUUCAAAAGAUAAUUCGUUGAAAGACCAUUUGUUAUCCUUGAUUAGGUCGCUGAUAUUGAGGUUUUGGUCUAUUAAACUUAGAGGGCCCGCUACUAGGGUAUAGAGGGCUUCAGUAUUUAUGAUUCAUUUGUCAAACCAAAAGGAUAUUUUGUCUCCCUUGCCAAGGUCCCAUCUACUAUUUUUCAAACAUAUGCCCCACCCAUACAUGAUGGUUUUCCAGAUAGGAGUGGAGCAUUUUAAAUGCUUGUGAGAAGUGUGGAGGCCAUAGUUUCUAGUGAAUUUCUUGGUUUGAGAGAUGUCCAUAGGGAACGGUUCUGACUGUACAUAUGCCAAGUUGAUUUGAUAAGUAGAGCAUUGUUCUUAGCUGCACACUGUUGGAGUCCCAGUCUUCAUGUGCUCUUAUCUCUAGUAGUAGUGUCCCAAUUAACUAGGUGGAGCUUUCUUUUGACCAUUGUGGUACCCCAAAGAAAAUUACAUUGUAUUUGGUCAAUCCGUUUAGUAACAGCUACAUGUAGCUUAGUAGUUUGCAUGACGUGAUUGUAUAUACUACUAAGGGUGGACUUAAUAGGGGAGAGAGACCUGACAUAUUAAGAAAUUUUGUCUUCCAUCUAGCUAGUCGAUUUUGCAUAUUAUCCAUGAUGAAUUGGAAAUUGUUCGCGUAGGGUAUUUUUUAUGGAAAAUCGGGAAGCCUAAGUAUUUUCCAAAGGAGUGAGUGGCUUUGAUUUUCAAGGAGUUGGAAAUCCUGGAACGAAUAAAGUCAUUGCAAUUAUUUGAGAAAAGGAUUUUUCAUUUGGAGUUAUUAAUACUUUGUUCAGACUAGGAGCAAAAACAUAUCAUGAUCCUUAAAAUGGUGCGACUAUUUUCCUUAAUUGCUUAAGCUAUUAGGACAAGGUCGUCAACAAAAAAGAGAUGGGAUAGGUGAGGGCCAUGUAGAGAGAUUUUUAUGGGGGUACAUUUCGUUUGCAUUACAGCCUUAUUAAUUUGGUGGGAAAGGACUUCCAUACAUAGGAUUAAUAGAUAAGGUGAUAGGGGAUCACCUUGGCGUAGACCCCUCGAGGUAUUAAAAAAAUUUGUACGAGAUCUAUUGCAAAGAAUGGUUUUCUGGUUUGUUAUUAUACAUGACAUGAUGAGGUUACUGAUGUUGGUGGGGAAGAUAAAAUAUUGAAGGGUGUAUCUAAUGAAGGACCAUUCGAUUUUGUCGAAGGCGUUCUCUAGAUCGAUUUUGGCUAUCAUAUUUCCAGUUUUCCCUUUCAUUCGCCUGUAGUGGUUGAUUAUCUUAUGUAUGAUGAUGGCAUUGUCAAGGCCUAUCUAUUUUGGAGAAAGAUAGUUUGGCAUGGCCCUAUGAAUUUAGUCAUUAAAGGUCACAAUCUAUAGGAAAUUAUUUUAGUAGCAAUCUUAUAGCUAAGAUUACAAAGGCUAAUAAGGCGGAAGUUCUUAAGGGAAAUAGCAUUCUUGCAUUUGGGUAUUAAGCAAACAUAGGUUGUUUUUGCUAUCUUCAGGAAUGCAUUCAUUAACGAAAGCAUUCUUGCAGAAAGAGAUAACGGAUGGACCUACAAUAUGCCGAUAUUUUUGAUAGAAUAGGGGUGAAGUCCGUCUGGCCCAGUAGCUUUAAAGGGCUUAAAAGAGUGGAUUGUUCUUCUUACCUCUUUCUCGGAGGGUAGGGGACUUAAUAAAUCCUUCUCUGAGUCGGAGAGGGUUACAGAUCCUAGAAAAUAUUGGUAUUGCUUGGAUUUCGACUGACCCGAUUUAAAGAGUGAAAAUUAGUAGGAUUCUAUAUGGUUUAGGAUUUGUGUUGGGUCUUCGAUCCGUGUAUUGUCUUUUGUUGAAGGCUGUGGAUCCUAUUUCUUCUUCUCCUAAUAAGGAUGGUGGAGUGGACAUAUUUGGUGUUAGCAUCCUCUUCGUUGAGCUAGUCAAUCCUAGACUUAAGUUUCCACAAGUCCUCUUCUUGUUUGAGAAUACUGUUGUAAUCCUUGACGAGGUCUUGCUCUAGAUCUAGUAGGAAGGAUCUACUCGGAUAGUUUGGGGAGUUAUAGAUACCCUUUAUCCUUUUAAGGGUGAUUUUUUUUUCCUUUUGAAGAUAUUGCAGAAAGUUUCUUUAUUCCAGAUGGAAAUGACAUUUUCAAACUAGGAAGUAGCUUUUAUUAGGUUUUGAGAGGUAUUCCAGGCAUUCUCGAUUAGAGGAGGGAGGUCGGGGUGAGAACACCAAAUUGUUUCGAACCUAAAGAUUUUUGUAGUGGGGGAGUCUUUUUCGGAAGAGGGAUACCAUAGUAGAACAGUGCUCGAAGUGUGUUUUUGGAAGAUGACGUACUAGGGCCUCACGAAAGGAUAAAAGAUAAUCAUUAUUAGCGAAAAAACGGUCAAGUCUUUCAAAAAUUAGGUUGUCUUUAUUAGUGAAUCUUUUAUUAGCCCAAGUAUAUUUAUUGCCCUUAAACCCCAAAUCUAUGAAUUCACAGUGGUUGACUAUGGACCAGAAAUCUUUAGUGCGCGAACGAUUUAGCAUGUUACCACCAAAUUUAUCCUUGUUAUUUAGAAGGUCGUUAAAGUCUCCUCAUAUUAGCCAUUUCCCGAAGAAAUUAUCCAUGAUGGAUCAUAGGUUCUCUCAGAGGACUUUUUCUCAAAUUCAUGUAGCAACUAGCAUAAAUACAACUAAGUAACCAAUAAUCAUCAUGUGUACUUACCUUGAUCAUGUCAUGUAUUUCCUGACCAGUGGUGGCGAUUUCAUCAAGUUCGAGUAGAUUAUCAUCCCAUAAGACAACAAUGUCACCCGAGUUUCCCAUUGCAGGAACUUCGAAAGGAAGUUAUCAAGCAAGACUUGAUGGUUUUGCAUUUUGGUUUCAAAGAGUGCGACUAAGGGGGGUUUGUGCCAAUCAAGGAGAGCCCUAAAGUUUCUUUUGAAUUCGGGAUUGUUGGCACCUCUACAAUUCCAUAUUGUUAGGUUCAUUGAUCUGUUCAAGUUCGAUGGGUUUAUCAGGGGAGUCAUCCUUAAUGUCUGUGGCUGGGCAUUCAGAUUGUUUAUCAUUGUAGGGUUCAUGAUUAGCACAUAUUUCCCUACUUCUAGGUUGAAGGGGUUUUUAUAUCUAUCAAACUUUUAAAGAGAUUCUGCGGACAAAUAAGGAUGUAUUUUUUUUUGAAUCUCUCUUUGUAUAUCAUUAUUCUUAUUUCUUUUAGGGCCUGUUUGAAAGGACACAAUGGAAUUGGGAAUUGGUGUNNNNNNNNNNNNNNNNNNNNNNNNNNNNNNNNNNNNNNNNNNNNNNNNNNNNNNNNNNNNNNNNNNNNNNNNNNNNNNNNNNNNNNNNNNNNNNNNNNNNCAUGAUUUGUGCCAAUAUUUGUUGAGGAUUUUUAUGGUUGUUUUCACUGUUUGUUUCUAUUGAGAUUGGGCUGCGUAUUUACUUGUAGGCUCUAGGUAUUAAGUUGAUGAAGGGCACAUGAUAUUAUAGAAAUACUAAAGAUAAGAUCUGCAUAUUUACUUUAUUUUUAUGAUUGGUUCUGAUCGGUGAAUGUCAGUUGGUAUGGGUGGAAAUCUUGUUGAUUUAGUUGGUGUUUAUGUUAUCAUCUGUGCAACUGUUGGUGUAUUAGUGAGUUGGUACAAGAGUGACUGAGAACUGUAAUUUGACGACUUCAGGUUGUGAAGUUUGCAUCAAUCGAUACACCUCUGCUCUUGGUUUCUUUCCAUUUACACUCUUUGUAUUUAAAAUUGUAUAUUAGUUGAUUGUUACAGUGCAUAAUAUUGUCACUGGUAGCUAUAGUAAGUAGCAAAACAAAAUAUCAACUCCUAGUCAGCCUACCAAACAAACUUUAAAUGGGUUAACAGUUCAGGUUUGCUGUCCUCGGUGCUAGCUUGGGCUUGAAACUGGCCUUGUACAUCACUUCCUGGAUGAUGCGUCAAAUCAAAAUAAUUUUCGAUUCCUCUCUUGCCACACUUGAUAUAUGUGAUUAGUCAUAGUCAUUCGGUAAAUGUGAGCAUGAUGUAAAUUACUCCUCAUGUUAUUCUAAGAACAAUCAAGUUCACCUUGCCAAAUUAACAUCAAAGCCUACUUUAGUGAAGUACUUUUUUGCCUUGAAAUUUUUAAUAUUUUCAUUUAUGUAGGAUGACAACUAACCAAACACCUAAGGUUGGAAAACCAUACACCAAAUGGAGUGAAGUUCAAGAUGAACAUUUCAUUUACUUUAUUGCUGAACAAGUUAAGUUAGGAAGAACGCAACCAGGAGGCUUAACCACCGAAGGAUGGGAUAGUGUAGAAAAAGAAAUGAACAAGCUAUAUGGGGACAAAUUAGAUAAGACUAAAAUGAAAAAUAGGAUGAGGACUUUGAAGAAGAUAUAUGCUACUAUGAAGAGAAUGUCACAACAUAGUGGAUUUGGGUGGAAUGAAGAAACUCGAAAAGUUGAUGUUGAAGAUGAUGUCUGGGAGCAAUACCUUGCAGUGAGUUACAUAUAUUCUUUUUUUUUUCGAUAUAGUUUAAAUUUAUGUUAUUUAUUUUCUGAUUUAAGACUAUUGAUAAUAUAAUAGGCACACCCAAAAGAUUCUAAGUAUAGGACGAAGACGUUGCCAGACUAUAAUACUUUGGCAUUAAUUUUUGGAGAUAUUGUCGCUGAUGGUAGGAAUGGGUGUGAAAUUAAUGAUGUCGAGGAUUUUCAAAGUGAAUUCACCGAUGAUGAUAUAGCUGCUGAAAAAGUUACCAUACCUACUGAAGAUACACAAUUUGUUGACUAGGAUGAUGGAUAUUUUGUUCAGAACAUGAACUUUACUAGUCCUGAAAUAACUCAAUCAUCUAAUCAAGAAAAGAGAGCAGGAAAAAGGCAUUUAGAUGAGCAACCAACUUUGACAUCACGUCCAAAGAGAAUUAAGAAUUCUAUUGGAAAUAGCUUGGCAAAAUCUGUUGAUCGAUGGACAGCAAUAGCUGAAGAACAAAUAAGGCUACAACAUGAACCAAAAAACACUUCCGCUGAAAAAUUAAUGCCUUUGAUAUUGGAAUUAGACUUGGAUGAUGAAUGGACUAUGCAAACUGUUGACCUCCUUGUAGAUAAGAGAAAUGCUGAAUUUUUUGCUGCUAUGCCUCCAGAGCUUAGAAAGAAAUGGGUCAUGCGCAAACUUGGUUUAUAUUGAGUGAUGUCGUUUAAAAGCAUAUUUUGUUGUUCGAAUGACGUUUUGGGCUGGUAUCUUAUUUACUUCUAGAUUAUCUAUUCUAGAAUUAAUUCAUUUACUUGUCAAAUAGGAUGGCAAAGGAUGAUCAUGUCAUGGUGUUUCUGGCAAAAUGUGUACUUUUAAUUAGUAUCAUUGCAAGUUAUUUUGGUGUUGGAUCCAAAAAAAGAGUGCACGGAUCAAUUUUAACUAGAGCAGAUUUUAUUAAAUAUUUGAUUGAAGGACAUCCUCGUGGAUGCUAUGACCUAUUACGUAUGAAUGUUGGAUGUUUCUUGCAAUUUGCAGAUGAGAUGAAAACAAGAGGUCUAUUAACUGAUUCAAGAAUGGUUAGAGUUGAAGAACAACUGGCUAUAUUUUUAUUUACGUUAGCUCAUAAUGAAAGGAAUAGAGUUGUGCAAAAUCGUUUUCAACAUUUAGUCGUUAUUUUAACAAGUGCUUGAAAGCUUGUCUCCGAUUAGGGAAAUACUAUGUGAAACAGGCAAGGAAAAGAUAUCUCGCAUGAAAUAUCCUCUAAUCCUAUUUUUUUAUCCUUGGUUCAAGGUUAGUUUUUAGCAUUACAUUUAUUUUUACUAGUUAAAAUUUUAUAGUUGUUUUGUGUCAUAUUUUAAAAUUUAUUGUAAGCUUUUUGAAGGAUUGCGUUGGAGCUAUAGAUGGAACUCAUAUUCCUGCACUAAUACCCAUGGAAGAACAACCGAGAUAUAGAAAUCGUAAAGGAGUUCUUUCUCAAAAUGUCCUUGCUGUUGUAGAUUUUGAUAUGAAGUUUCAAUACGUGCUUAGUCAUUGGGAAGGCUCUGCUUCGGAUUCUAGAGUGUUAAGAAAUGCUGUUUGGGAAAGAUCACAAAAUAGAUUGAAAAUUCCAAAUGGUAAUUUACUAAUAAUUCAAAUAGUGAUAUUAUUUAUUUUUCUAAAGAGUACAAGCUGAUACUUGUAAUUUUGUAGGAAAAUAUUACAUUAUUGAUGCAAGCUAUGCAAAUACAAAGGGCUUUCUAGCACCUUAUCGUUGUGCACGAUAUCAUUUGAGAGAAUGGAGCCAAAACACAAGCACCACAAAAUGCUCGUGAGCUCUAUAACUUGAGACAUUCAAAACUUCAAAAUGUCGUAGAGAGGACAUUUGCUGUUUUGAAAAAAAAAAUUCCUAUAUUAACGACUCCACCUCCGUAUUCCAUCAAAAAACAAGGUUGGAUUGUACUAUCAUGUUGCAUACUUCAUAAUUUCAUUCGUAAGUGGAAUUGGCAGGAUUCAUAUUUUGAAGAACACAUGGAAGAGGAAAUAGAAGAUUCUCACGGUUUGAAUGAUAUUGACUCUGAUUCUGAUUCUGAUGAAGAAGACAUUGGACGAGGACCGACAGAUGCUGAUAAACAAUAUAUGUGCAAUCUGAGAGAUGAAAUAGCUCAACAAAUGUGGAAUGCUAGAGCAAUUAGGUGAAUAUCAUAGAUCGAAUGAUUCUCUUAGUUUUGUUGUGACUUGACUGUAUAAAAAAGGUUAUGUUGUAGCAAAAAAUAUACUUCUAAGUACGUAUGUACGCAUAUGCCAUAUAGAUCAAGGACGUAAAUCAUGUGCAAUACAAGUUGCCAACAUUGUAAGAAAUUGUCUUUUGUCAAUUAUCCUAGUCGUUGGACGGAUUAGUGGGGAAAAGGAAUGGGAGUAGUCUAGCUUGUGGAUGGAGGUUGAAAGGGACUUAAGUUCAUAUGUAUUUGGAGUAGUCUGUUAUCACAACUCAUGAAUGAUAGAGCAACAUUUCUUCAAAUAUUUUUGGUCUGAUGUCAUUCAUGAUGGCAAAUCUUGUUAACUCCAUUUUUUUUUUGUUUCACUGCUACACCACUUGUAUGUCACCCAAGUUAUGCCAUUAUUGCAAGCACAACUAUUAUCACUGAGGGUGCAAUCAGUUUCUUUUUGCCAUCUCAAGCAUAAUUUUGAUGUGUGAUGCUGGAAAAUCUAGGCUUGAAAAAACUUUUGUAUUCAUUAAUUAAUUUAAGUAGUAAUAUUAUUUACUUAAAAUCUAAUGUAUUUUAAAAUUUAACUGUGUAAUUACAUUGUGGCAUCCAAACAGGACAUGAGUAAUUACAAUGUGGCAACCAAACAGGCCAAUGUAAUUACUAGACAGUGUAAUUACUAGGCUGGUAAUUACUACCCUAGUAAUUACACCAAUUCCAAUUACCAGGUGGCUUUCCAAAUAGACCCUUAGUACUAAAAUCUCUGUUCAAGUGUCUCUCAUUAGCUCUAGUGUUUCUUCUAUUUUUCGGCUAUUGGUAAUCGUGGGACGUAUUGGCAAUGGGUUCAUAGGAGGUACUUGUGAUGUAGUCGCUAGGUUGUGUGCCCUUGGAGCAGAUGUGUUGUCCAUUGAUUCGGGCAGUGUCGAGGUACCUAAAACCAACCAAGGAUUAUUUAUUUUUUAGUUUUACAUUGGUUUAGACAUUUAAAAUACAUAACCUAAUUUUAAUUUUCUUUAAUGUUUAAUCAUGUAAAUAAUACUUAUUAGACUUAUUUAGCAUGAUUUAGUACUUUUAAAUUAUAAUCAUUUUCAUUAUGACUUAUCAAUUUGCAAUAUUUAUUUUAUACGAUUUCAUUAUUAUUUUUUAUUGAAUAUUUUAGUGUCAUCGCUCAUCUCAUAUUUUGUAUUAUUUUCUUAAGAAACGCCUUAGAUAGUUGUAGUUUGGUUGGACUAAAGAAAUAUUUAGAGUACAAGUUAAUUAUAUGUUUGUAUAAAUACUUUACCGGAAAAUUCAAAAACCCGAAAAAAUCCAAGGUUUAUAGUUUGGUUUGAUUUUAAAAUUCGACACAAAUGGUUUGGUUUGAUAUUUGAAAAUUCGAACCAACCCGAAAAACUCCGAGGUUGAAAAACAUGAAUAAACCCGAGUUUUAUUGGUUUGGUUUGAUUUAUAAUUUUAAAAAUUUGACACAAAUGAUUUGGUUUGAUAUUUGAAAAAUCCGAACCAACCUGAUCAAGUACACCCCUAAUUAAAAGGAAUGAAAUUUGAUAAAAACCCUUGGAUUCAUCUUCUUCUAUAAAAGGUAUGAAAUUCUUCCAGAAUAAACAAACUUUCUAAAGAAAAAUUUAGAAAUUUAAAAUUGGGAGUGAGUUAUUUAAUUCUAAGUUUGACACAUGCUUCUCUGUUAAAAUUAAGAAUAAAUUUGUACCAAAGUAUAGUGGAAGUCUGAGAGGGAUAUAUUUGGAUCGAAAGUAUAACAAGAGAGGUAUAUUUGGAUCAAAAGUAUAAAAAUGGUAUAUUUAAACUAGGGAAAAAGGUCAAAUAUACCCUCAAAUUUUAAAAAAUGAUAUAUAUACCAUCCGUUACACUUUAAGGUUGUAUAUACCCUUACCAUCCGUUAUAUUUGGAUCAAACGGAAAGACACGUGGCAUGAUCUCAAAUAUUUACCCUAUUUAAUUUAUUUUAUCCAAAAUUAAUUAUUUUUAAUCAAUUUAUUUUAAUCCAUUCACUGUCCUUGCUGCCUUAGCUUCAAAGAGACGUCCGCUUCUCUCCAUUGUUGACCUCAAAGCUUCCAAUUAUAUCCAUUGAUCAACAAAUCAAGCUCCUUUGUAUAUCCUUCGAGUUCGCUCCAUCCGAUUUCAAGUUCUCUCGAAGAAACCCCUAAAUUUUACGUAUCUAGAUCUGCAACCACUAUUGGAGCAAAAAUAGUUCAAAAUAUUCACUUAAUUUGAUUCGAAUUUCAUCACAAUAAAUAAUUUCUAGAUCUCCGAUCAAUGGCGAAGGAAUUUAACGUCCCAUCAAUGAAUUUUUCUGUCCGGCGAAACUCCAGAUCCACGGCAACAUAUCCUUCCAACGGUGUCGUUUCAACCACCGAAGUCGUAGAAUCCUAAGAUACCUUUCAUGUCCUUCGAUGUAGGAUCUGUUGUUGCUUUCACUCUGCAAUUCACGUCCACCACUAUCGGCGGCGGUGGCUCACCGGAUUUUGAAGGCAAGCUAUCGUUGCUGGAGGAGCUUGGGAUUAACACAAAACAAAUCUACCAAAAGAUGUAAUCGAUUGUGAAUUUGCUCACGUAAAGGCAGAUUUCAUCUUCUUAAUGGCAUACUGUCGGGUUGUUCAUCUUCUUCAUGGCAUAAAUGCCGGAAAGCUUAAUUUUGAAGGGAUGGAUAAUUGGGAUUAAAAAAAAUUAUUUUAGGGUAAAAAUAAAAUAAAAUAGGAUAAAUGUUUGAGAUGACGCUUCCGUUUGAUGUAGGGGCAUAUAUGGCCAAAAAGUAUGACGAUAAGGGUAUAUACAAUCGUAAAGUAUAACGAAAGGUAUAAACAUACCAUUUUUAAAAGUUCGAAAGGUAUAUUUGUCCUUUUUCCCUUUAAACUAUUUCAGAUAGUACAAGGGUAUAUUUGACCCUUUUCUGAAGGAAAAAAAAACUGAUUGGAUAUGAUAUGAUGGGAUAAAUGAUUCUAAACCACUUUAAUUCCUUAAAACCAAAAAAUUUAGAACCUUUAAAUGAGUUCACUGAAAUCAACUUUAACAAUAAAAAAAAUAUUUUCCAUUUUUUUCACGUUUAGUUCGCUUAAAUAUUUUGAAAAAUAACUUUCAAAUGAAUUUAUUUUAUUCUAAUUUAAGGAAAAUGGCUUCUCUACGUGAAGUAAGAAAAAAGAUUUUCAGAAGCUCUUUUUCAACUCUACCACCCCUUAUACCACUACUUACUCCAGCUAGACUCUGAUCUGGGAUCUGAUCCCAACAUCGACCUUGAUGCCAACCCAAGACUCGACAUCAGGAUCUAACCCCGACCAAAGACCUGACCCCGGCUUGAGUUUCAGCUCCCGACCUGGACUCGAUCCAAGAUCUAACCCCAACCUCAAAAUCAAACCUCAACCUGGGACCCAAAUCGAACCCAGGACCCGACCCCAACUCUCGAUAUGAACCCCACUGUGACCUCAACCUAUGAUCUGCCUUAACAUAACACUUCGAAUGUUUGAAUUAUGUUGAACUAAUCAAAUGCAUGUGAUUUUGAUCCAAAUUAUGUUUAAUCGAGUUUUGAGAUUCGAAAUCUAUCUCAAAAUGAUGAGAAAUCAAAUUUGGGGUUUACCGCAUCAAAUCAUUUGUUAAUCGGAGUUAUGUAUAAAAAGUUAUGAGUGUCUUGUGAAAUUACCGUGCAAAAGUUAAAACCUUGCUCAAAAUUUUUAUUUCACUACAUUUUUUAGCCUACUUCUUAGAAAGGAAACACCCAAAGUCCUCUCUCAAACACCUAAGGUGAGUUCCUAUUCUAAUAUUUCGAUUUAAACAUUGAUUUUAUCGUGGAUUAACAUACAAAUGAUUAUACUAAUUCGUAGAUCUUGAGAGUUAGAUUACUUGGAAUUCUUAAGCUUUUAAUUUAUCUAUUUCAUAAUUAAUAGGGAUAAAAUGGUAAACUCAUUAUCUCAAUCAUUAUUUUUUAAAUAUGUGUAUCAAUUUAAAAGUGAACAAGUAAUUAGGGGCAGAUGACGUAUUAGUUAACCUCUUGAAAAAAACUCUACAUCUUCAAAAUUAUUUAGACUUCCAAAGACCAUAUUAAUUGUAGCGGUAAAUAGGAAAACAAUAGUUAAUUUUAUCCUAAAUUAAUAAGUGACUAAGUAAUAUAAGACAAAAAAAUUUAGUAAAAUAUCCAUAUAAUAUAGGACGGAGGAAAUAUGUCGCAAAAUUAAAAUUUAAUAAUUAUUUUUAAAAAAAAAUAAGAAGAAAAAAAGAAGAGGGUAGAAUCUUAGCAUUAGAAAAUAGUCAAAAGUGUCGGUUGUAAUUUCAAUGAGAGAUGAAGGUGGGAGUCACAUGGCCAGCCAAGUAUUUGUUGUGAAAACGCUGCUCAAUUAUACAUAUAUUAAUAAAUAGGGAAUUAACACCUACACAUUAUCCCUCUAUGGUAAGAAAACAUGUCAACCAACACUUUGCCCCAUGACAUCUUGUUUGGCUUCAUGUUUUUUCGACACACAUUCGAAAUCAGGAAAAUUGUAUAAAAUAGUAAAUAUUUAAAUGAUAUUAAGUAUUAUAGCUAUUAUUUAGAAAAAUUGUAAUUCACAAUUAUAGUUUUCUUCCAAAUCUUGCUAUUAGUUUAAUAUGUAUAAUUCGUCGGAUUGUAUAAAUUAGAAUUUUAUAUAAUUCGGUUCCUAAUUGUAUAAAUUUAAAAUUUGUAUAUGCUUACUCUAACUAUUUGUAUACGAUUUAUGAAAAAAAUCACAAUAAAUUUUGAUGUUUGUAUAUAGGCAAGCGAAAUAUACAAACGAAGUUUUGAAAAAUUCCUAAUGUAUAAAUACAAAAUUUGUAUAUUCGCAAACGAAAUAUACAAACCAUGGCUUCCUUAGUAAAUGGAACUACAAUUAUGAAGCGCAAUUAUCGAAACUACAGUUAUAAUAUAAAGGUUUAUUAUGUCUAUUAUGUUUGUUAUUUCUGAAAUUUUCUCAUCGAUAUUUCCUCCAUCUAUUUUUACUUGUUUAAUAUAUUAAAAAUAAUUAUUUAUUUAGUUUAUUUUUUUUAGAGAUAAUUUAUUAUUUUGUGUCUAUUUUAUUCUUUAUAUUUGAUACUAUUCAUUUUUCAAUAUUUAGACUUGAAAGUAUGAAUUUGACCAAUAUAAAAAAUAUACUACUUAAUUAAUUCAUAUUCAUUAGUCAAUUAUGUUGGUCAAAUAUAUACAUUUGACCAAAAAUAAUUGACAACUAGACAAAAAUGGAGGGAGUAUUAUUUAUAAAAAAAGUGUAGGCUAAAAAGUUGGAGAGUGAGACGCAUAAUUUUGUUUUUAUUACCAUUUGAAAAAGAAAUUUGCAUCUCGUGACUAUCCAACUCUAUGAAAUGACCGACAAGGAUUGUGGUGGAGUGGUAAGUACUCCUUCAUUCUUAAUUAAGAGAUCUCGGGUUCGAGUUCCCUUGAAUACGAAAUUGCCUUUGUUAGGGAGCGCUUUAUCCUUUAAUGUGGGACUUCUCGGAGCGAGUCCAGAUUUAGUCGAGCUCCAAUAUGGAUAUUGGAUACUGAGUGGAAAAAAAAAACUCUAUGAAAUUAAAUGUAGUCUCAUUUGGCUCAAUUAAUUUAAAGAGGAUUUUAAAUGGUAUAGUCAUCCACCAAAUAUCAAUUAUUUUCAAAAUGAAAUUUAUACCCAAACAAAACAAAAAAACUUCAAAUACAUUAUUUUAAACUUAAAAAAAAAACACUCUGUUUUUUUCAAUACAAACCUAAUUAAAUAUAGUCCAAACACCAAAUCAUCCUCUUAUUUAACUUAAUAAUUCUCUCUUCGUCACAGCGAGGAAGAUACAACAACAACAUACUUAAUGAAGUCCCGAUAAAUGAGUCUGGAGGAGGAUAAAAUACGCAGAUUUUAUCACUGUCUCAGAUCACGGCAAGAAAAUAAUCCAAUUAAACGACACAGUUGAAUUUGGCUAACAUAUCUCUAACAAGAACUUCAGUAAUACGACGAUGAGCUUCAUCUGUCAAAUGAAUUCCAUCCCAAUGAACAUACUGUGCCGGAUUCGCACAAGCAUUAAUCCCAGCUGCUCCACACACAGUCCUGAAGUUAAAAUUAUGCCUCCCUCCAGUUCCACAACACGCACUCAGCAAUGUAUUUUGAUUAAACCCAAACGAAGACGGGUUGCGAAUAAGUGACAAAAUUGCACCAUAAAAAUCACCAUAAACAAUGCUAACAUUUGGGAAUUCACGUUGUAGAUUCGCUAUAGCCCUAACCAUGUAUCUAUUAUGAUACGAAGCGAAAUCAUUGAAGUUCCUCAAGCAUCCUAAUUGAUCGUAACCACUCGUAUUGUUAUCAGGGAAGGAUGUGAGGUAUAAUGGGAGGCAUCCGAGAGGGUAAAUGCUCGGAACCAACACUCGUGUUGCUCCGAGCUGAAUCACCUCUUUGAUGCCUCUCAUUAUCCCUGCAACAACAAAUGGAACGUAAGUUCUAACUUCUGUGAUUUGCUUUCUCUGGAAGAAACAAUUGUAGUAAUCGUUUCCUCCCCAUUCCCCCAUUAUUACUAUCGACUUUUUCAAAUUCUCUGCACAUCUAGAACCACAAGUCGAUUGGAGAUGCGUUUUGAACCAAUUUAAUUGAUUUGAAAGCGGAGUGUUCCAUGUGGGUAACCGGAUGUUACGAGCAGUCCAGAAGGAUGUAUCAAGGGCGGUAGCUCCGGCGACGGCGAAAUUUACUCCUUGACUGAAAGAUGCGCCUCUGUCUAAAUAAGCAUUGAGGAAUGAGAGUUUGAAUGAUUGAGAAAUGAAAUCGGUGAUAACGGCGGCCGUUGGAGAAGCGGCCGGUGGGUCUUCUGAAGAAAGUUUCACCGUAAGGGGAACGGUCGGCGCGGAAGAUGAUGGAAGCGCCGGGAGUACGGAUGACAUUUCCGGCGUCGGCGAGGGAGUCGCCGAGUUGGUAGACGGAGUUAACGUUGCAUUUAGUUUGGGCAGAUGAAGGAGAAAAGAAGAAUGAUGUGAUGAGUAAAAGGGAUAAGGAAAAUUGGGUAAGAGAAAGAGUCGCCAUUGAAGAAUGUUUUUUGCUGCAAAAUGGAAUCCAUUCACGUGCUACUUAUAGAAUGGUAGACCCCGAUCUGUUUGGCCGUGUGAUAUGAAAUUAUGAUAUAAAAUUAUAUCUAAAUAUCAAAUUUUUGUUUGAAUAUGCGAUAUUGAUUUGUAAGUUGUAUUUUUAUAUUUAUAAAUAUAAAAUUUUCAUAAAUUGUAAAAAUUAUCAUAAUUGUCUUAAUUUUCUUUAUGUAGUCUUAUCGAAUAAGCAAAAAUUCAUACAAUAUAAUACACUAUAGUAAAAUUACAUUUUUAAUAAAUAUAUGAUAUUUAUUGAUUGAAUUUUAGCUCAAUAAAAAAGUUAAUUUGAAAAUGAGUUGUAGUAUGCUACUCUUUAAUAAAACUGAACAUGGUCAAUAAUUUAGGGAUAUGUGUUGGUCGUUUCGGUUUGAAUUUUAUUAGUUUUACUUAUUUAUUAUCGAUUUGUAGACAUGUUAAAUCAUUAAAAUAUUGACUUAUCGACUAUUGAUUUAUUGGUUAUUAAUUGUUAUCGGGUUAACCGUUAAGAUUUGACACAAAAAAACAAUGAAAAACACUUAGAAACAAGGUGAUAAAACAAAUGAACCACACAAAUAAGUUCACAUAUUGCAUCUUUUCUCAAAAGCAAAGACCUUUAUAUUGUAGAAUAACCAAAAGUUUAAAAUUACCAAAAAUAAAGUAUAAAACUAACUCUAAGUCAAGGAUUUUAUAUAUAUAUAUAUAUAUAUAUAUAUAUAUAUUUCAUCGUAUUCAUAUUAUGUGGAUUUUUCAUCGCUCCUUUGAUAUUUAUUGAAUCAAAGGCAAAUAUGUAAAAAUAAAAUUCAACAACUUUUUAAAUUUUUUAAAUAAGUCAAUUAUUUUGAACUAUAAAAACAAUGUCAAUAAUUUCGUAGUGUGUCAGCUGUUGAGUGGCUGGUUGUCACUUUAAUUUGUUUUUUUCUUCAUUUAUGGUUUUAGUUUUAUUUAAUGACAAAAAUGAUUAAACCUUUUGACUUUUUGACUGGUAAUUCAUUCAUCAAGUGGCUUCAAAAACAGAAUCUAGUAGUAUUAUUUUUACGUGAAGGAGUACAUGUGGGUCAAAUCACACUUUAUUUUCUGUCUCAAAUUUGACAUAUCGGGAUUUUUAGUCUAUUUUAAAAAGAAUGAUUUAUUUAUUUUUUUGGUGAUAUUUUAAUUUUAGUUUUCCACGUAAUAUGUUUAAAAUUAUAAGAUUAAAAAUAUAUUUUUAGUAUAUUUAGCAUAACUUUAGCUUAGGACUAUAAAAUUGAAAAAUCUUUUUUAAUUUUUUAAACUUUAUGUUAAGUCAAAUUAGACCAUUUUUUUUAAAAGGAGAAAAUAGUAUUGUUUUAUAAAAGAAUUAACUGAAUUUGUACGCUGUUGUUUUAGAAACUACUCCUACAUGAAAAACUACUAAACAUACUUAUUAAAAAUAAAAUUAGAAGUUAUAUUUUCUUUGAUUUUAAAAGAACGAUCUAUUUUUUUUUUAUAAGAAUCAAAGGGUCGACUGAAAGAAACAAGAAAAUAUAUGUGAAAUUAUCAAAAUCUAAUUAAAUUUAUUCGCAACAAAGGACUUUAUAGCUUUACCUUUCAAUUGAAUCCAAUCAAAUAAUAAUAAUUUGAACUCAAUAAAAAAUGAAAAAACCAAAUUGAAUCUACCAAGAGGAUAGCUCGAUGGUUGAUUAAGCUAGAAGAAAUUAACACAAACAGUACUGGGAAUCCACCCUAACCAUACAACUACAAUUACCAACUAUGAACUACACUAAUGCUAGGCUUGAUCUAGAAACUACAAGGUUCAAAGCUUUCUAAUAUUCAAUUCAUCAUAAUCUUCGUAAUCUAAGUUUUCCAAAAUAAUAAAAAUUAUUAUUUAUAUUAAGAAAAUUAAGAAGGUACUUUUUUGACAAUUUUACCCUUAAUGAGAUAAGGACCUUAUUUGGUUAUCUUCUUUUUGUGAAUUCUUGAAUUUAUGAGAGCGUCAUUUGCAUACAUGGUCACUUUCUUCACUUUGAUGGAUCUUCAACACAUUAUAUGUCUUUAUUUGGUAUCCAGCAAAUUCCUCUAAAAUUUUCAUAUGAUUUAUGCUAUUCAACACUUUAAAAGACAUUUUGAUACAUGUGACACAGCUUUAAUUUAAAAUCAUAAAAUUAAAAAAAAAAAUCUUUACUUUUUUAGAAUUUGUAUCAAAUUAAACUAAAUCAUUUUCUUCUAAGUAAAAGUAAAUAAUUUUAUGUGACCAAGAAAAAACCACUUGCACUUGUCCCUAGGAGACUUUUGUUUCCUAACGGGUGUCAUUUUGUCCCAUCUGGGCAAAUUGCUAAAAUGAAGCCCAACACAACCUUCAUCAACUCUAUUAUUAAAACGUGUAAAAUAGAAAGUGAACAACUAAAAAAGAAAUAAAUUACGUAUAUUUUAAGGAGAAUACAUCUUAAAUGUUUACUUUUUCUGUCUCUAAUUACUUGUUCAUUUUCAUUUUUAAUUGUUCCUAAUUAUUUGUCCAUCUUGACAAAUCAAGAAAAAACAAUUUUUUUCACCUAUUAUAUCCUCAAUUAAAUGACUAAUUACUUUGAAAAAUGUAAAUUUUGUCAUCCACUUCAUAAUUAUUAAGGGUAAAAUGGUAAACUCAUUAUGUCACUAAUUAUUUUCUUAAUAUAGGUGUGUCAAUUCAAAAAUAGACAACUAAUUAAGGACAAAUGGAGUAUUAAAUUUGUAAAAAUAUCUCAUUAGAGUUAUUUUGAUUUUCUUUAGAUAAUAUAAUUAUCAAACUAUGCACAUAUUUUCAAUAAGGUGAUGAAAAGUAACGAAAAAAUUAAAUUUUAUCGGAGGCUUAUACAUGUAUAUUUUUAGAAUCCAUUUUUAGAUCCAAUAUUUCAAAUAGAUUUUUAAUAAAAUAAAUUUUAUUCAUAUAAUUAGAGCAAAAUGAAGAUGCAAUUUUUCGUUAAAAAGCUUAUAAAUGUAUCACUUAUUUUUAACAGAGCCUUAAAUAGUUAUCUUUUUAAUUUGCCUUUUUGUUUAAAAUUCAAUCUAAUAAUAGGCAAUAAUGCAUUUCCGAUGUUUUUCUUAAAGCUGAUCUUUAUUUUCAUUUAAGAGGAAUUUCUUAAAUAGCAAAUCUUUCUAAUUGCAAACUUGAGAUUAAUGUUUAUGCAACAUAAUAGGAGAAGAUGAUAGUGAUUUUUCAUGAAAAAGAAUUGUAUUUGAAGUGAGUCAAAUUAAUUUUAUAUAAUGGGUUAAUAUUGGAUAAAAAUGGUUCUAAAAAAGAAAAAUGUAUAAAUUUCGGUUAAAUUUUUUGUUUUUAUCAUCACUUUACACCUUAUUGGAAAUAAUGUGCAUAAUAUGAUAAUUAUAUUAUUCAAAAAUUAUUUUAGAAAUAUAUAUUUACAAGUUGGAUAACCAUUCCAGGAAUCCACUUUAUUUUUUACUUAAAAAAAUGCAGGUGUCGGUGAACAUAUUUCCUUUUUCGAAAGUAAAACCGUUUGAGUUUGAUCGAUAAUUUGCAUAUGAAAUCUUCACUUUUUUUAAAAUAAUAUAUAUAUAUUUGUAAAUUACGUAAAGAGGACUAUGACUCACAAUAAUUGACAAUCCAAUAUAUUUAAAAGAUAUAUAAAAAAUUUAUAAUCAAAAAUAAAUUUAUUUGAACCUCAAAAUAAAAAAUAUGUCAUAUAAAUUAGAACGGAAGAAGUAUAUUAUUAUUUUUUUAGUAAAAAGGAACUGUUUGCCAACAAAGAUUGUGCUUUAAUAAUUGAAUAUGAUAAAAUGCACACAUUUAAGCAUAAGCACGUUGCUUGAGAAAGAGAGCCUUUCUUACCUACUACCUUUUGGUUGGAGUAAAGAUAGGUAGGUGGAAAAGUUUUGAAUUUGAAUUCAAUAUUUGCAAAAUAAUGCUUAUUUGCAUCCGUCUUAUAUUAGUUGAUUACUUUUAUUUUUAUAUAUGUAUUAAAAAAUUAUAAAUAAGAAGGUAAUUUUCCUAACUAUUUCAUUCCUUAAAAUUUUAUUUUGGGAUUUCACAAAUAAAUGUGAACACUUUUAAAACGAAUUAAUGGAAAGAGUAAUAUAGGAAGAAUUUAAUUAAUAUUUUUUUGACUUAAUAAGGUAAACAACUAAUAUAGGACAAUUAUUUUUAGAAAAGUGAUCAACUAAUAUUUUAGUUGUCAUAGUUUUCUUUAUUAUAAUCAAACAAUAACAACUUUGACCAACAUUUUAUGAUGUAUUUUUCAUCAUAUAGAUAUGCAGAAAAUUGUAAUUUAUAGUAUUUUUCGUAUUUUGAAUAUCUAAAUUUUUUAAUUCAAAAUAUUGAAUUAAUGUAAUCUAAUUUAACUUUGAAAAUUAGUCAAAUUGACUUUCGAAAUGCGCAACAUGACAACUAAAAAAGAACGGAGGGAGUAGUAUAUUUUUAUUGGAUCAUAAAAUGAUUUCUUUUGGAAAAAUAUAGGGUCUGGAAAGCAUCUUUAUAUACGAUACUACUACCUUUGUUUCAUAUUAGAUGAGUAUCUUACUAAUAGUAUUUGUCUCAUAUUACUUGAUCACUUAUUAAAUUAGGAUUGAAUUAAUUAAAUAUUUUUCAUUUUACCUGUCACACCCCAAGCCUACACCUUGAAGGUGGCCGACACUCAGAACCAUUGGUAGUCCCAAGUGAACCCUUGGUCUGACUGACUACUGAGCGAAACACUAUACAUACAUAAAGAAGUCUUAUAAAAUAGACAUUUAAAAUCAAUUAAAGAUAUCUAAUACAAAAGUCAGAAAUAAAUCUGAAUAUAAAUAAUGUUAAUAAGAAUAAUGUUAAAAUUUCUCAAUGCUCAAGACUGAAUUGGCUCGCUAACUUUGUCUAUAUAUGAAGCCUUUACUAAUAGGUGUCAGGACAAGACCUACGACUAUCUGACUAUUUAACUAAAUGACUAAAAAUCAAAUAAACUGAACUAACUAAAUUGGAUCCCUCCGAAAGUCAGGAGGUCUCAUCAGCGACAAAUGAAAAGAGAUCUUGUUGAACGCCUGCUAUCAAGAGUAAUUGAACUGCAUUAUAAAACGAUGCAAUAUCAAAUAACAUUAGUACAUGAAACGUACUGUAUGUAAUAAGAUUGAAUUGAAAUACAUAAUUGAAUAGAAUACAUGAACUGAAAGUAAAGCAUGAACAUGAAAUGACAUCAUUAAAGUUUUACAGUAAGAUAUGCAAUAAUAGGAAAUACUAUAAUAAUAAUAAUAUACUUUACUUUUCUUGGGGAGUUCUCUAACCAACAACCAUCACUAUGAGGCUCGUGAUGAUACAACGUCUCGUCCACGUUGCCAGAGUAUGAAAUGUAACUCACUUAUGGAUCCACUAAAAAGCCUUCUUGAGGCAGGUGAGGAGUCGCCCGAAUUUCGGUACGAUCCUAUCUACGUUGAAAGUGCAGGUUAUGAGAUUCGAGCUAUCAUAACUCUUACCCAAAUCGGUGAUCAAUCCUACUCCCAAAAUAUAUGUAUUAAUGGGCUUAUAAUGAUAAUAUCCAUUGAGUUGAAUUAAUAUUCAAAAGGCCCUCUUUAAAUGAUAAAUUGAUCUUUACUUUAAUUUACUGGCUAAAAUGCUUGUGUAAACUGUUUAUACUCUUCUUAGAAUAGUAGUUCUCUUCUCAAUGCAAAAUAAUACAUUUGGAACCGUUAGCGUUCCUUCAAAACUUUUUUCAAAUGAUGCUUAAAAUAUACUUGGACUCACUUUAAAUUCUAAAAUCAAUGCUUGAAAAUAAUUGUACAAAAACUUUCAACAAAAUCUCAAUUACUAGGGUUCAUGAGGUAAAUAUAAGCAUGAACAACAACUCAAGAAUUAAAAUGCAUAGAGUGUCAAAUCUCAUCUCAAUAGUUCGGAAAUGGGAACUCCAAAAAUUCAUGGAACUUAGGGUAGAAACCUAGAUUUAUCUCUUCACUAAUUGAAUUUAGAUGUAGGGCGUGAUGAAGAACUUAGUCCAACACUAUGAAUAGUUUUACAUACCUGAUUAUGAAGCUAUUGGAUAGAAGAAUUUGGUGGAGACUUCAUUUUUCUUGAUCCUGAGGAAGAACACUAGCUUUCUUGGAGGAAAACUUUGAUCUUGAAAUCUUGGUGCUUGAUCUUGAGGAAGAAAAUAUAUUUUAUAGAGUUCUUAGAGUGGAAUAACUUGAGAAAACCUUGGAUUGAAGACUUCUCUUUGUGUUUUGAAUUUUUGACAUAGAAGUUUUAGGGUUCUUGAUGGAAAAGAGGAACCAUGAAUGAAUUCUGAGAAAAUUUUUGGAAACUUGAAUGUUUUGAUUGAUGAUUAUGAGAGGAUAACUAGUUACUUGAAUGAUAUACUCCUUUAAAACACCCAAAAUGACUUAUAGGGACAAAAAGCUUGGGAAAGGACCAAGGUAACACGAACACAUGCAUUAAGUUUCUAGAAAAAAAUCGCAGCACGCCUUCAUAGAAGGCUCCACGAUCCGUGGAACAUUCCAUCAUCCAUAGUAUCAGCCGUGAAAUAGCGACUGUAUGACAGGGCUUCACUGAAAUGAGUAUAACGUUUUACUCCAAACUCUAAGUAAUGUAAACUUGGUGGCAUUAGAAAGAAGAUUCAUAUACCUUUAAUUUGAUGGGUUAUUGGCCACGCGACUCUUCAUAUUCUAAGAGAUGUGAUUAUUUGAAGUUGAUCCAAGUAAAAUAUUAUAUUGACACUCAAUUGAUAAGGAAACUUUCAACUCAACUUUGUGUUUGAGGAUUCUUAUAACCUUAGUCAAUCUCUAAAUCUAUUCUCACACUAAGGAAUUGACCUUAACACCUAAGCACAAUUUAAGAAUCAUCCGGUAGAACCUUAUACGCAUAUGAAGAAUGGUUUGAGUCUUAGUUUAGAAAUUUUAAGGGUGUUACGAUACCUCUGUAAUUAAUAUGUCUUUGGAAGUUUAAUUUUUUUUUUUGAAGAUCCAUUUUUUUUUGAAGAGGCCAUUUAAUAUGAACAAAGGGAAAAAUAGUAAAAUUGAUCAAUCUGUAAAUGAUUUCUUAUUAACCAUGUAAAAUAAGAAGUGCCCAUAUAAUAUGAAAUAAAGGGAGUAUAUACGAAUUAAUAAGGUGAAACAUGUUUGUCUGUCUGUAAAGAGGAUAAAUUAGUCAAUUAAUAUGUCUAUUUAUGCAUUAAUUAUUUGUACAUUUUGGUUAGAAGAUUAUAUAUUUUUUGUUCUUUACUUGGAUGAACAAAAAUGUGCCUUAUUUAAUGUUCUUUGUUUUAUGUUUAUGAAGCCUGACCUUUAAAUACCUUUAUUUCGCUCCUACUUUAUUUUUGCAUUAUUUUACUGUAAUAAUCAGAUUCGGUCGUUAUGAGUAAGCUAAUAGUGAAUGAAUUUGGACCAGAAAACUUUUUGGGUAGUGACUUAAAUUUUUUUCCAGCUAGGUCAGCCUCACAAAAAAUCUGGACUAUGUGAGGUCUGGGGUCAUCCGGGAAUGGGUGGGGUGUGAUUUGGGGGUUUGGUUGAUAUAUUCUUGUAUCCAAGACAUUAAGGAAUCCAUAAUGCCUUUCAAAAUUGAAUUCAGGUUAGUAGAACUCUCGAAAUUAAACUUGACGUGAAAGGUAUAUGUCGGAACAUCAAGAAAAGAUUUGUGUUGUAAAAAUUAACUUUUUCUAGAGUUUAAGUUUCUAAGCUUUAAUCGAUCCCGCUAUAGCGAGCCGAAUUGGGUUUUAGUGUAGAAACAACCCCGAAAUCUCUGUUUUCUGCAUUUUGAGUUCUUGGACUUGGAAGAGGCGAUUUUGGACAGGUAGCACCUAUUUCUCCACAGAAUUCAUUGAUAAAGGUAAGAAUUCAACUCCCCAACCUUAUGCAUUGAUUAUUAAUCCUGAGAAUCUAGGUUAUUGCUAUUGGUGUCAUGCUCUGAGCCUACAUUCUGAGCGGGACUGACACUCGAGAACCAUUUCUGGUCCCAAGCGAACCCUUGGCCUGGCUAGACUCUCAGCGGAAGACUUUAAGAAUUAAUAAAAGAAAACAAAUGCAACUUUACUCUACUUUCUCAAAAUAACUUAGAAUGUUUUAGAAUUAAACAUCCAACUAGCCAAAGUGGCAACUCAAGUUUUAUAACAAAACAAUUUAAAUGCAAAGACUAAAUGACUAUAGCUAUCUAUCUAUGAAGCCUCUAAUACUAUGAGGGAUGUCGGGACAAAACCCUCGAUCAUCCUAAAAACUAAAAUAAUAAAGUAAAAAUGAAAAUGGAUCACCCGGAAAGCAAGGAGGCUCACCAAAUGACUCUGAAAUGCUCAACUGGAUCAACGAAGCGCUUGAUGUUGAUCCUGAUAACCUAUAUCUACAUCACAAAAGAUGCAGGCCAAAUGGCGUCAGUACAUGGAAUGUACGAGCAUGCGAGGGAAAAACUAAACAUGACAUAAGCUAGAACUGAAAUCUGAAAGAAACACUUACCUCAACAUUACUCAACUCAAGGCAAAAAUAAACAACAAUAAAGAUACAGUUUAUAUAAAGCAUUUAAAACAGUAGAUAACAUCUCAAAGUAUUGAAAAAUACAAUAAUAUCCCAGUUGUAUGGAAGAAUACAAAAUAAACUCUGUUUGGGAGAUUCUUUAAAUGAUAACCAUCACUAUGUCACUUAAUAGGAAGGCUCCAACUUAAAGAGAACUAUCUAAUUCUUGUUUAUAAGGAUAAGUAGGAAUCAUAAUUCCCUUUUUACUGGAUGUGUUUUAAGCUUACCGCAAAUAAUUUAUCACCAUGCUAUAAUGGAUUUUUUUUUGAAUUCCAGCUUAUAGAAAAUAGUUUGUCUGUGUUUUGAAGUAAACCAAUCAAAGCACUGUUCCAACUAACCGAUGGAAAAGUUCUAGGCAGAGGGACAAAAUGAGGUUUAUAUGUAUUUGUAUUCUAGAAAACUAUUGAUAUCUUGAACUGUUCUAAAGACUUCUAAGGUUGCAAAGUAUGUCAUAUUUGUGAGUUCAUGUCUAGAUAUCAAGAGAAGUUUGAAUGCUUUGUUUGUUUGAUACUGCUAUGUGAUGUGAUGUCAUUGUACGUUUAUUUGAACCUCCCUUUCCUUGUUUGUUUCUUUCAUCCUGCUCUUCUUGUUCCCUUUUAUUUUUACCUCAUAAUUUACACUUAAGUUGUUCAUAUAUGCUGUGUAAUUCAUUGAAAUAAUCCUUACAGAAAACUGAAGUCUUCCUUUGUCUUUGCAGCGACAUGUUUCUGAUUUCUAUAUCUCUGAUUUCCAGUCUGGAUUAAGGGCUUUGGUCAAAACUGGGUAUGGUGCAAGAGUAACCCUUUAUGUCGAAGAGUCUAUCCAGUGAUGACUGAAUAAUGCGAUUGAAAGAAGGGUAUGGCUUAACUCAACUUCAAUGAAUCUUGAAUAUUUCUUCUGCUUGAGUUCUUUGAUUAAAUAACAGACAACAUGCUCAAUCAUAUCUAGAUGCCUGCUUUGAUUAAUAUUGUAUAUAUUAUUACUUUUUUAUCCCUGCCAUGCAUGUUGUCCUCAGUUUGGUUUUUCCUCUCCCAAAUCUUUGUUCAGGUAUAUAAAAGAGGGUAGCACUGUGAGUGUAAUGGGAGUUGUCCGACGGAACGAUAACGUUCUGAUGAUUGUUCCUCCUCCAGAGCCACUUUCAACAGGAUGUCAGUGGUCUAAAUGUAUUCUUCCAGCCAGUCUGGAGGGUAUCGUUUUGAGAUGUGAGGACAGUUCAAAGAUUGAUGUCAUUCCUGUGUAGCACUUUUAUGAUUAUAGAAGGCUAUGCUGUUUUUGUUUUAAAUAUGUUGGAAAACCCUCUUCUGUCAGUGGCAACAAGAAUUAUAUUGAUCAACAUAUGUGUUAAGUGAACAAUAAGAAAAGAUAAAAAUAAUUUUCUCUAUACAUGUGUUAUAUAAAAAUAUGCUUUGCUAAAUUUUCUAAAAGUGAUGUUGAUGUAAUAUUGUUAAACCAAAAGGUUCUCUUUCUGUUUGCCCAUUCCUGAACAAACUUGUAUGUAAGCCUCAAUAAACUUUCGGUGACCCUCUAUACUACAACCGGUAGCAAAUGAGUAGAUUGGAUUGAAUUUGGACGGAUUGAAAAUUGAUUGAGUUGCAAUUUAUUCAUAUGAAAAUUUGUAAAAAAAAAUAAAGGAAAAAGAUCAAAUACAUGUACUAUUUGAAAUAGUUGAAAUAUACCUCUCGUUAUAUUUUUGGUCCAAAUGUUCCCCCUCUUGGAAUGAAAUUUGAUAAAACCCCUUGGAUUCAUCUAGCAACCAGUAGAAGAUAAGCUAAAAUUGUAUAUUCAAUAAUUAAAAGUAGGGGUAAGCGUGGCAACGGGACCGGAAUCGGGACUACCGGAACCGGCCGCCACGGGCCGGAACCGGGACGGACUGGAACCGGUAAUUCUAGGAAAAAAUAUCAAGACACGUCCUGGACCGAGACCGGAAACCGGGUCCCAACGGCUAUAUUUAAUUUUUUUUUUUAUUAAAAUUAAAAAAUUAGGAACAUUACUCAAAAAAUAUUAAAUUUUUUUAUAAUUUUAAGGUUAAAAAUUUAUACUUUUAAAGUUUUAAAUACAAACUUUCAAACUUUAAAAGUAUAAAAGUUUAAAUUUUACACUUUAAAAGUUUGAAAAUUUAAAUUCAAACUUUAAAACUAUAAAACUAUAAAAGUUUAAAUUUCACACUUAAAACUUUGAAAAUUUAAAUUCAAACUUUAAAAUUAUAAAACUAUAAAAGUUUACAUUUCACACUUAUAAGUUUGAAAAGUUAAAUUCAAACUCUAAAACUAUAAAAGUUUAAAUUUCACCCUUUAAAAGUUUUAAAAUUUAAAUUUAAAGUUCAAACUUUAAAACUAUAAAAAAUUUAAAUUUCACACUUAAAAGUUUGAAAAUUUAAAUUUAAAUUAUAAACUUUAAAACUAUAAAACUAUAAAAAUUUAAAUUUCACACUUUAAAUUUUAAAAGUUUGAAAAUUUAAAUUCAAACUUUAAAACUAUAAAAGUUUAAAUUUCACCCUUUAAAAGUUUGAAAAUUUAAAUUUAAAUUAUAAACUUUAAAACUAUAAAACUAUAAAAAUUUAAAUUUCACACUUUAAAUUUUAAAAGUUUGAAAAUUUAAAUUCAAACUUUAAAAUUAUAAAAGUUUAAAUUUCACCCUUUAAAAGUUUGAAAAUUUAAAUUCAAACUUUAAAAUUAUAAAAGUUUAAAUUUCACCCUUUAAAAGUUUGAAAAUUUAAAUUCAAACUUUAAAAUUAUAAAAGUUUAAAUUUCACCCUUUAAAAGUUUGAAAAUUUAAAUUCAAACUUUAAAAUUAUAAAAGUUUAAAUUUCACCCUUUAAAAGUUUGAAAAUUUAAAUUCAAACUUUAAAAUUAUAAAAGUUUAAAUUUCACCCUUUAAAAGUUUGAAAAUUUAAAUUCAAACUUUAAAAUUAUAAAAGUUUAAAUUUCACCCUUUAAAAGUUUGAAAAUUUAAAUUCAAACUUUAAAAUUAUAAAAGUUUAAAUUUCACCCUUUAAAAGUUUGAAAAUUUAAAUUCAAACUUUAAAAUUAUAAAAGUUUAAAUUUCACCCUUUAAAAGUUUGAAAAUUUAAAUUCAAACUUUAAAAUUAUAAAAGUUUAAAUUUCACCCUUUAAAAGUUUGAAAAUUUAAAUUCAAACUUUAAAAUUAUAAAAGUUUAAAUUUCACCCUUUAAAAGUUUGAAAAUUUAAAUUCAAACUUUACAACUAUAAAUGUUUAAAUUUCACACUUUAAAUUUUAAAAGUUUGAAAAUUUAAAUUCAAACUUUAAAACUAUAAUAAAGUUUUUUUCACCCUUUAAAAGUUUGAAAAUUUAAAUUUAAACUUUAAAACUAUUAAAGUUUUUUCACCCUUUAAAAGUUUUGAAAAUUUAAAUAAUUAAAUUCAAACUUUAAAAUUAUAAAACUAUAAAAGUUUACAUUUCACACUUAUAAGUUUGAAAAGUUAAAUUCAAACUCUAAAACUAUAAAAGUUUAAAUUUUUACACUUUAAAAGUUUGAAAAGUUUGUAUUUAAAACUUUAAAAGUAUAAAUUUUUAACCUUAAAAUUAUAAAAAAUUUAAUAUUUUUGAGUAAUGUUCCUAAUUUUUAAUUUAAUAAAAAAAAAUAAAGGCGAAUAGCCUAUACUUUUAUUAAUAUUAAUUAAAUAGUACAAGUUGAAUUACAAAAUAUUAGUAGAGGAUUAAAAAAUCUAAUCUACACAACCAUCUUCUAGGAAGGGUUCUGUUUGAAUUAGACCUCGAAUUAUUAUACUCAUACUAAUAGACAUUUAAAUUUAAUAGUUCAUGCUACCAAGGAAAUCUUUUUUUAAAUCAUUUAACAUUUCUCUACUAACAUGCUCUGGAAUUGGUUGAUUAGGUAGAGUAUUAAAAAAUCUAAUCUACACAGCCACCUUCUAGGAAGGGUUCUGUUUGAAUUAGACCUCGAAUUAUUAUACUCAUACUAAUAGACAUUUAAAUUUAAUAGUUCAUGCUACCAAUAAAUCUUUUUUUUAAAUCAUUUAACAUUUCUCUAGUAACAUGAUCUGGAAUUGGUUGAUUAGCUAGUUCCUCCAUUGCAUCAAUGUCGUCGUCACUAAAAUCUUGCAUUAUUUCAUCAACGUCAUUUUCAAAUUUGGUCGGUAAAGGUGGACGACCAUAACUCCUUCUCUCGCCAUUAAUCCAAUCUCUAAAUAAUACCGAUAUCUCCAAGCUAUCUGCUGCUAAUGAAUAUCUAUGCUCUCCAAUUUGAAAUCUUGUUGCACUAAAAGCGCCUUCCGAAGCUACUGAAGAUGCUUGAAUAGCUAACACAUCUCGAGCAACCGGUUGAAAUUUUGGAAAUCCCUGGCCGCGAUUCCUCCACUAUUCUAGAAGAUCAAUAGUAGUAGCUUCUGUAUUUUGAUAAAUAUAUGCAUCAAAAUCAUUUCUAUCAUUAUGAGAAAGUUCAAUAAUACAAUCUAUCAUAUCAUCAAUAUCAUCUUCAUUAUUAUAUCUACUCCUAGAACUUUGAGGCUCUUCGUUAUGUACUACAUUCCUUAUAUCAGAAUUAUACAAGUCGUACAAAUUUCUAGCUUCAAUUUUUAUACUAUCUUUAACAUCUUGACAACUAGGUGUUUCAUCAUCUUCAAUACCCAAAUUAAAAUAUAUUUUAUCAACCAUUCGUGAUGCACCAUCAUCUUUGUAAUGUGGCUUUAACAAACAAGCAGUUAAAUAAAUUUGAGGAAUAAGAAUAAAAUAUUUUUAAAAUUUUUCAAUCAUUUUCUUAACAGAUGCUUCAAAUCUUGGUUUAUUUUUGAAUUUAUAAAAUUUACUAGAAAUAGCACAAAUAUUAGGUAAAACAGAGCAAAUAGUUGGAUAAUAAAGUGCAGAUAUUUUUUUUGUAGUUAAAUAAAAAACUUUUAAGAAUUCUAUAAGUUCUUUUAUGUUAUUCCAAUCACUAUCAUCAAGUCUAUAUGCCAUAUUUGAAUUAUGAGCAUUCCAAACAAUUUGUAAAGGUUUCCUAUAUUCAUAAGCAACUUCAAGCAUUUCAAAUAAAGAAUUCCAUCUAGUACACACUGAUUUUGGAAUUUUUCUAGGUGGAAGAUUAAAUUCACGACAACGAUUUUCAAAAUCUCUACGUCUAGACUUAACUUGACAUUUAAAAAUAAAAUGACAUGCAGUUUCAACUUUUGUGCAACCAUCAUCAUAUAUUGCUAUACCAUCUCUAACAAUCAAAUUAUAUAUGUGUGCAGCACACCUAAUAUGAAAACCAUCAAUAUAAAUAGGGCAAAGAGACGGUUUUAGUAUUUCAACAACAAUACUAUUAUUAGAAGCAUUAUCUAAUGUGACACUACUUAUUUUAUCACAAAUUCCAUAGUUUUGCAAAACAUCUAUAAUUGUUUAAGCUAUAUAACUACCGGUUUUAUGCAUUUCACAACAUUUAUAACCUAAAAUUCUUUUUUGCAAAGUCCAAUUUUCAUCAAUCCAAUGCGCAGUAAUUGUGAAAUAAUCAUUACCAUUUACACUACGACCCAUAUCAGAAGUAAUAGCUAUUUUACAAUGGUUAUAAUAAAAUAAACAACGAAGAUAUUGAAAAUGUUGAGCUUGAUAAUCAAAAAUAGCCUUUUUAAUUGUAUUUCUAGUAAAACCUUUAAAAUGUGGAUUAUACACAAUUUGAAUAUAAUGAAUAAAACCGGGAUUUUCAGCAAAACUAAAUGGCAAACCCAUAACAACAAUCAUUUUAGCUAAUUCUUCAAGAUCUUUUUCUCUACUAUAUGACCGUUGUAUACUAGAACCAGAAACAUUAGAAGGAUUUAAUUGUGUUUGGACCAUAUUAGACCCCCCUACUCCUACAGUUUCAGGAAGGGUGGUACCAUUCUUUUUAGCUUCAGCUACACCUUUAGCAUGCAAAAAUUCAUUUUUACAACAUGACAUUAAAUGAUUACUCAAAUGUCCCGUCCCACCCUGUUUUCCUACAGUUUUAUGAUUCAUUAUAUGUUUACAUUUAUUACAAAUAGCUUGUGUUUUAUCUUCAUUCUGAGUCAUAAAUUGCCAAACAAUUAAUUUUUUGGCGCGUUCUACCUUAGUCCUAGGAUGCACGGGGGGAUUGGGAGCAGGACAACGAAAGGGAGCAGGAGUCGGGGAAGAGGGAUUGGGAGUGGGACUAGUAGCCGACGGUGGCUCAGUUUCAUCAUCAUCAUAUUCAUCAACAUUAUUAUCAAAACUAUCAAUAUAAUCAUUAACAUCAUCAUGUUCAGGUAAUUCCUCAUCAAAAUUACCAAACCUGCUUUGUAAAUGUUCAUGAUUAGGAUCUAAUCCACUAUUACUAUCAAUAUUAAAAACAGUUUCAUCAACAUACGUAUAAUCAUCCGUAUUUAUUCUUAAUUGAGAAGUUGUUUUAGUUUUAGAUUGAGAAGUACUACGGGUUUUUUUAUUUUUCUUGGAUUUUGAGCUACAUAAAUUAGUGAUCGAAUCAACUAUGGUUGUUUUACCCUUGUCAACAUUAUUUUUAGCGGAAUUCAUAUUCAAAUAUAAAAAAGUGAGUAAAUUAUAUAUAAUACGAAAAUGUAAUGCAAAGUUUUAAACAAAUAAAUAACUAAAUGAAAAGUGAGUUGGAACGAAUGUACCAAACGUCUACUUAAAAAAGUAGACGUGUAUGACCGAAAGCCGAAAAUUGAAAGUUGAAUUUUGAAGCUCCAAUUUCCAAAGACCAAAUUCGUAAUUUAAACGAGAAUAAGAGAUUAGAGAGUAGAGAGAGUAGAAGAUAAUAUUUUUGUGACUUGUGAGUGAAAAGAAUGAAAGAUUGAGGGUAUUUAUAGUUAAAUAAAAGGAUGAAAAUGUAGUUUUUAUAAGGUUGGGGUAUUAAAAAAAGUUUGGGGGGUAGGGAGGUGUAAAAGGGGAGUAUGGGGUGAAAGAGCCGUUUGGUGGGGCCCAAAAGCCGUUGCCCAACGGCUCUCAACGGCUAUAAUUUGAAUUAAUACUUUUAAAAAAAUAAAGAAAAUUUAACGAACCUGACCGGACCGGGACCGAAACCGGAACUAACCGGUAAAUCCCGGUUUCCGUCCCUUUACCCCUCCCGGACCCGCUACGUUCCGGACCAAACCGGGACUAACCGGAACUGAGACGGAACCGGUAACGGACCGGAACCGGAACCGGCACCUCCCGGUUCCGUUGCUAGGCUUAAGUAGGGGUGUACAAAAUCAAACCAAAAACUUAAUCAAACCAGAAAAAAAAAACCCCGACUAUACUUAGGUUGGUUUAGUUUUAACUAAAGAAAGUCAACUCGAGACCAAACCAACCCAACAUUAUAUAUAUAAUUUUUAAAAUUUAUUUUAUACAUAAAAGUAUUUACUUUGAUGUAAUUUCUAAAUAUUACUUGUACAUUUUCAUAAUUUUUAUCUUUUACCAUAUUUUUUCAAGUUUUUUGAGACUUAGAAUUUUGAAUGGUCCAAUAAAAGUUAUAGUCCAUAGAUAUUAGUAACUCUAAUAAAGCUCAAUUUAAAAUCAAAUUAAUACUAAUGCUAACAAAAUAGAUUAAUUCAACUCUAAGAAUGACAAUAAUGUUGAAUAUUUGUUUGUUUUUUGGUAAUCAAGAUGAUUUAAUAUUAAUUAUAUAAUAUGCAUCGAUACAACAGGUUCAGCCACAUUACUUGUAGCAUUACAUACUAAGUUGAGUAUUGGAUUUAUACAUCCAUUAGUAUUACAAAAGAUAUUUGAAUUACUAGCAAAAGGAGUUCCACCCUUGUCUGCUUCUAGGCUAUCAAAAACAAAUAUUGGGGAACUGACCAUUCUUCAAAACGAAACCCGUUCAUCAUCUUCCCCUUCUUUGUUAACAAGUCGGUUGUCCUGUUUUGUAGGAGUAGCUCCCUGCAUUCAGAAACAAUGUUGGAGUAAGCAUUAGAGCUGGAGUUUAAUAUAUUAAUUACCUCCAUUGAGUCUGUAGAUAUCUCCAAAUCUGUGAUAUUGUUUCUCUUGGCUAGAUGCAAACCAUGAAGGAUUGUUGUAAUUUCGGUGCCACUAGAAGAGUUAGUGUUUAUUUUUUAGAUGCAUCCAGCUACCCAAUUUCCUUGCUUAUCUCUAAUUAUGCAGCCUCUGCCCCCUUCUCCGGUAUUGGUAUUAAAAGAGCCAUCUAUAUUAAACUUAAAUUGUCGCACGGGAGGGGGGGGGUUCCAAUAGGCCUCGAGGGGUCUUCUAUCCCUUGGGAGUUUUGUGGUUGAGUACCCUUGGGCUAGAUGGAGAAAUUAUAGGGUUCUGACUUUGGGGACCAAGGGGAUUUCAUUGGACGUAUCUUGGUAGAGGUUAUUGUUUCUGUUUAGCCAUAUAAUCCAGAUGAAGAAGGGGAAGGUUGUAGCCCAUUCAAUAUUCAUGACGCUAGCGUUGAUGUAGGCUUACUCAUAGAGCCAGUUGAGACUAUCCUUAACUAUGAUCAUGGAUACUGAGUCAUAGAUAUUAAGACUUGUCCAGUUCUUAUUGUCUAUGUCACAAUCCAAAAAGAUAUGUUUACCCAUUUCGAUUUCCCCACAAAUAGUGCAUUUCGGGUUUAAAAUAAUUCAUAUGGAUUUAAGGUAUUGUCCGGUAGGGAGUCUAUUAUGGGAGGCUAGCCAAAGGAAGGACUUAAUUUUGUUGGGGCAUCUAAGUUUCCAGAGCCAGUUGUACUUAAUAUUCCUAUCAAAAUCACUUUUAUGACUCUUAAGGACUCUAUAGGUUGAACUUGUGGAGAAGGUUCCAUUAUCACUAUGUUCUCAGAUUAUUCUGUCUUGAGGGGAGAAGUUUUGGGGGAUAUGGACAUCCUUAAUAAGAUUUUAGAUAUCAGUAGGGAGUUCAAAAGAUAAUUCAUUGAAAGACCAUUUGUUAUCCUUGAUUAGGUCGCUGAUAUUGAGGUUUUGGUCUUUAAAACUUAGAGGGCCCGCUAUUAGGGUGUGGAGGGCUUCAGUAUUUGGGAUUCAUUUGUCAAACCAAAAGGAUAUUUUGUCUCUCUUGCCAAGGUCCUAUCUACUAUUUUUCAAACAUAUGCCCCACCCAUACA
RNAcentral lists this long non-coding RNA (31140 nucleotides) under Solanum tuberosum (potato). Its description in RNAcentral is "long non-coding RNA (STUB_LNC011277)". Lineage: Eukaryota; Viridiplantae; Streptophyta; Magnoliopsida; Solanales; Solanaceae. The record is from RNAcentral.